This 394-nucleotide unclassified non-coding RNA is filed under the name Hevea brasiliensis (rubber tree). The record is from RNAcentral. Lineage: Eukaryota; Viridiplantae; Streptophyta; Magnoliopsida; Malpighiales; Euphorbiaceae.
UUUUUUUCAAAGUACAAAUUCACAAUAUUAUUUAGCAUGUUCUGCUUCUAAAAGUUAGCAUUUUGGUGGGAGAGUGCCCCACAAGGCCACACAGGCUGGAGGCAUAUUACAAGGGCAUAUCCUAUUAAAAACAAAUACCUAGCUUUGCGCAAGAAAUUAAAUGCUACCAUCAUGAUACAACAUAGCAGCUGAUUUAACAAAACCAGCUGCUAUAUAACUAUCGAGGGCAACACUAGACAGCUCGGAAUACAAUACAGAUAAAUCACAUACCAAAGUCAGAAGAAACCAGAUGCGGUAAGACAGCUUUUGGGUUUGCAAACUCUUGAUUCAAUCAUCUGCAAUAAAUAGAAAGUCGGUGGCAAGCAUCAAGAAAUGAUCUUUCCAUUCACCAGGA